RNAcentral lists this ribosomal RNA (158 nucleotides) under uncultured bacterium. RNAcentral's name for it is "partial 16S ribosomal RNA". It matches the Rfam family "Bacterial small subunit ribosomal RNA", at positions 355 to 509 of the family's 1533-position model. The record is from RNAcentral.
UGAGGAAUAUUGGUCAAUGGGCGAGAGCCUGAACCAGCCAAGUCGCGUGAGGGAAGACGGUCCUAUGGAUUGUAAACCUCUUUUGCCGGGGAGCAAAGAGCGGCACGUGUGCCGCGCCGAGAGUACCCGGAGAAAAACGCAUCGGCUAACUCCGUGCC